AAUAGAUACCCAGGUAGUCCACGCCGUAAAACGAUGUCGACUUGGAGGUUGUGCCCUUGAGGCGUGGCUUCCGGAGCUAACGCGUUAAGUCGACCGCCUGGGGAGUACGGCCGCAAGGUUAAAACUCAAAUGAAUUGACGGGGGCCCGCACAAGCGGUGGAGCAUGUGGUUUAAUUCGAUGCAACGCGAAGAACCUUACCUACUCUUGACAUCCAGAGAACUUAGCAGAGAUGCUUUGGUGCCUUCGGGAACUCUGAGACAGGUGCUGCAUGGCUGUCGUCAGCUCGUGUUGUGAAAUGUUGGGUUAAGUCCCGCAACGAGCGCAACCCUUAUCCUUUGUUGCCAGCGAUUCGGUCGGGAACUCAAAGGAGACUGCCAGUGAUAAACUGGAGGAAGGUGGGGAUGACGUCAAGUCAUCAUGGCCCUUACGAGUAGGGCUACACACGUGCUACAAUGGCAUAUACAAAGAGAAGCGACCUCGCGAGAGCAAGCGGACCUCAUAAAGUAUGUCGUAGUCCGGAUUGG
Molecule: ribosomal RNA, 525 nt
Filed under: uncultured bacterium
Lineage: Bacteria
Description: bacterial SSU rRNA
Rfam family: Bacterial small subunit ribosomal RNA
Source: RNAcentral